GAUAAAUAGGAAGUGAUGCAACUAGCUUGUGAGGCAGGUAAUGCCGUUGAUAUAACCAUAACCCACAACCUCCAGGAGGGAGCAAACUUUAUGAAAUCUACAGUUCGAAGAAAAUGUAUAAUACAGACACAUAACCAAGCGUUGUGUUUUCUGCAACGAUGCUGUGUUUGGGUGUAAAUGCGGCGAGGUCGUCGGUGUCUUUACAAAAGCUGUGCAUCCUCUCCCUGCUACACACAAGACAUCGGACCUAUCAUUGCCCCACACAGUCUUCGAGACGUCGUGGUGCUGCUCGCUGCCUCUCCACUGGACCCGCUCCUCCCACACUCCCUGACUCCCCCGAGUGCUCUGACACCGAGCCCAGCCGCAGUACCUCCGCCUGGUCCCCUGACCAGGGUCCGCCGCCGGCUCCCACCCACUGCUGCAUGAGUGGCUGCCAUAACUGUGUGUGGAUCGAACACGCGGAGCAGCUGCUGGCGUACUACAGCGACGGAGGCGACCGGGCGCUCGACGCCAUCGAGGAGAACGUCCACGACGAGAACCUUAAAACCUACCUCAAGAUGGAAGUUAGACUCCUAAAAAAGACGUGACAGAUUGACCGCCAGUGGCUUCGAUCACAGUGUUGUCAGGGAAUGAGUGUUGUGAGCAUUCUUACUAAAAAAAAAAAAAAAAAACACAUCACUGACUGAGUAGAAGCACUCCCACUCCAGUCACCGAUUUGAGCUCCACAUUUUCACGUCCUCCGGUGGGUCACACGGGUCACGUCUGCAGAACAUUUCAGGAAACUGACACGAGCUACCAGGUCGGCACGUGAAAAGUAAAGUGUCCUCCUUGGCUACUAGCAGCUGCGUGGAGCAGGCGAUAUCGUUUUUCUUCCCACUAUGGCCACGCCAAGACCCGCCCUUCAGUAGCUACUAUUGGCUAGGCGUCCAUGCUUGCGCAAGGUAACGUAACCUGAUUUGUUCAGUUCCUAUGCCCUGACCAACCUGCUAUCCUAACCUCAACCACUCGAGGUCAAAUGCCAAACCCCAACCAAUCGACCACUAUGGCCAAGUGGGUCUUGGCGUGGCCAUAGUGGGAUUCGUAAUUUUGCGUGGAGGGGUAGGGGGGCUGUGCGCGAUCACAGAAGGCUUGUAUCAUGUGGACUCGCCGACAGUUUUGUUGUCGUUACUUAGAAUUCCUGAUGGGGGAGACAGAAACUACGCACUAUAGCUUUAAGACUAUUUUAAUGAUGUAUUUGAAAGUUAUUUUUGAGAGUUGUUUGGUAAAUAAAUGUUCUUUCUGAGAUGA
This is an RNA transcript of Perca fluviatilis (European perch), 1287 nucleotides long. It is a transcript of the gene named oxidoreductase-like domain containing 1, with no coding region annotated. Lineage: Eukaryota; Metazoa; Chordata; Actinopteri; Perciformes; Percidae. The record is from RefSeq and is a predicted model, not a curated record. The transcript has 3 exons.